Cyprinus carpio carpio is the source of this 280-nucleotide long non-coding RNA. The record is from Ensembl. NCBI's taxonomy places the organism in Eukaryota, Metazoa, Chordata, Actinopteri, Cypriniformes, Cyprinidae.
AGCACAGCACCAUCUGGACAAACCAAAUUAUACAACUACAAAAACAAAACUACAUCACCUAUUGGAAAGAUGCUACUAAAUCACAAAAGAAGAUGGAACUCUAUUUAAAGCUGAAGAGAGAUUAUAAACCAGCAGAAUACCUGAGCUGUGUGAAAGAGCAUAAAUUGAGAAAGACCCUAAGCAGAUAUAGACUGAAGCAACACCAAACAACUCGUGCAGAGCUGAAUUAGGACAAUACCCCUUAUUGAUCAGUAUCCAGAAAAGAGCUGUGAAGUUCUAC